Myodes glareolus (Bank vole) is the source of this 604-nucleotide long non-coding RNA. RefSeq lists it as uncharacterized. NCBI's taxonomy places the organism in Eukaryota, Metazoa, Chordata, Mammalia, Rodentia, Cricetidae. The record is from RefSeq and is a predicted model, not a curated record.
CCAGUCCCCAUCCCGGGUCCACGGUGCUGCUGCGGGGGAGGCUGACGCAUCAUCCGCCCCCGGGAAUCCCCCACCUCCCUUCUAGGACCUCAGACUCGCCAGGGCGGGGCAGAGUGAAGGCUGUGUGCCCGUGCUUGCUGUCUCCGUUUCUGCGUACCAGCUGUGACGUACUUCGAGACAGGAACUUGCUUGGCCUGGAAACCAGGAAAAUCAAUCAGAAUGAUUCAAAAGCACCUGCCUACUCUGAACAUGGCUGAAUACAGAUACCGUGGCCAUCUCGGACAGAUGGGGCUUGUCACACUGAGGUUCACAUAUGGUCAAGAGUUAAGAUGUAUAGGGUGGAGGCUAUAGCCUGGCUCUGAAAACAUUCCUAAGGUCCAGGUGUCAAAGGCUCAUUCUUUCAAAUGGAGCUACAGGGAGGAGGUGGAGGUCGUGCUCAGCGGGAGCUCUUCAGGAACAUGCACUUGACUGCAACCUUUUUUCUCUGCCACAUUCUCUGCAGCAAUGCGCUGCUACACCACAGGCCCUAAAACAACAGCACCGAUUACAAUGAACUACAACCUCCACAGCAAUGAGACAAAAUAAAUCUACUUUUUAAAGUUUA